CAAUAGCGUAUAUUUAAGUUGCUGCAGUUAAAAAGCUCGUAGUUGGAUUUCGGGUGGGAAUGGCCGGUCCGCCGUUUCGGUGUGCACUUGCUACGCCCACCUUGCUGCCGGGGACGUGCUCUUGAGUUCACGCUCGGGACACGGAGUCGGCGAGGUUACUUUGAGUAAAUUAGAGUGUUAAAAGCAGGCCUACGCUCUGAAUACAUUAGCAUGGAAUAACACGAUAGGACUCUGGCCUAUCUUGUUGGUCUGUAGGACCGGAGUAAUGAUUAAGAGGGACAGUCGGGGGCAUUCGUAUUUCAUUGUCAGAGGUGAAAUUCUUGGAUUUAUGAAAGACGAACUACUGCGAAAGCAUUUGCCAAGGAUGUUUUCAUUAA
Molecule: ribosomal RNA, 377 nt
Filed under: uncultured eukaryote
Lineage: Eukaryota
Description: partial 18S ribosomal RNA
Rfam family: Eukaryotic small subunit ribosomal RNA
Source: RNAcentral